UACGUAGGCAGCAAGCGUUGUUCGGAGUUACUGGGCGUAAAGGGUGUGUAGGCGGUUCUUUAAGUUUGGUGUGAAAUCUCCCGGCUCAACUGGGAGGGUGCGCCGAAUACUGAGGGACUAGAGUACGGGAGAGGAAAGUGAAAUUCCUGGUGUAGCGGUGAAAUGCGUAGAUAUCAGGAGGAACACCGGUGGUGUAGACGGCUUUCUGGACCGUAACUGACGCUGAGACACGAAAGCGUGGGUAGCAAACAGG
Molecule: ribosomal RNA, 253 nt
Filed under: uncultured bacterium
Lineage: Bacteria
Description: partial 16S ribosomal RNA
Rfam family: Bacterial small subunit ribosomal RNA
Source: RNAcentral